This 443-nucleotide ribosomal RNA is filed under the name uncultured bacterium. RNAcentral's name for it is "partial 16S ribosomal RNA". It matches the Rfam family "Bacterial small subunit ribosomal RNA", at positions 338 to 795 of the family's 1533-position model. The record is from RNAcentral.
CCUACGGGAGGCAGCAGUGGGGAAUAUUGGGCAAUGGAGGAAACUCUGACCCAGCAACGCCGCGUGAGUGAUGAAGGUCUUCGGAUUGUAAAGUUCUUUUCUAAGGGAAGAAGAAAGUGACGGUACCUUACGAAUAAGCCUCGGCUAACUACUGGCCAGCAGCCGCGGUAAUACGUAGGAGGCGAGCGUUAUCCGGAAGGACUGGGGGUAAAGGGUGCGUAGGUGGUGUGGCAAGUUAGUAGCGAAACUCCGGGGCUCAACCUUGGAACUACUACUAAAACGGUUGGACUUGAGUGCAGGAGGGGCAAGCGGAAUGCCUAGUGUAGCGGUGGAAUGCGUAGAUAUUAGGAGGAACACCAGUGGCGAAGGCGGGUUGCUAGACUGUAACUGACGCUGAGGCACGAAAGCGUGGGGAGCAAACAGGAUUAGAUACCCCUGUAGUC